This 3024-nucleotide long non-coding RNA is filed under the name Daphnia magna. RNAcentral's name for it is "uncharacterized LOC123473657, transcript variant X9". The record is from RNAcentral. Lineage: Eukaryota; Metazoa; Arthropoda; Branchiopoda; Diplostraca; Daphniidae.
UAUUUUUAAAAAUUAGUUUAGCAACGCUGUGAAACAUAGGCAGCCAUUAAUGACAGGAGGGAGAAAUAGGACCCAGCUGCUGCUGCAACAUGUGGCAUAAGCCACUGGGAUUUAAUUGUAAAUUUCUUAAUAUCACAGUCUAAUCCUUGUUUCAAUAAGUGGCAUGUAAAGAGUGCUGAAACUGCUGUUGAAGUGUUGCUGAUUUUUCAUCUGGAGUAGAGUCACUCACUUUGUUCUAUGGAUUUCUGAGUAAAACCAUGGUGGAUCCAUUCGACGAGUUUCACCACCCUUGAUUGUUAUCAACGACGUGUUCUUCCCUUCUAACCGACAGCCUGGAAUAUUAUAUAAAUGGGAAUAUAUAAUAAUCACAUCUUGUUAGCAACCCAGAUACCAAAAAAGCUAGCGUCACAUGCAAGCAAAUACCAGUCAGCCCAGUGCAUUUAUACGGAUAUUGUAAAUUAUUUGAACUGCUUGACUAAUGAUUGUGGUAAGACUUUACAUAACAGUAAUUGUUGUGUUACCUACCGUCUUAUAUACGCGUAGCCACGUUCCACGUCCUACCUUUCCCGGAAAAAGGCUCGGGAGAGGGGAAGGUUAAGCUGAAAGCCGAUUGGUUUUGAUAAAUUAGUUUUAUUCCUACGUAAGCUCUGAAAAUUCCGCCUUUAUCUUUAUUGACCCAACCUUCUGCAGUGACCUCGAUUUGAAGAACAUCCUUAGGCAAUUCAGAGAAGGAAAAUAUCCACUGGCUCUUUGAGUGUAGAUCUGCCGCUUUUGGUGUUUAAUGGCGUUUCAGGGCUUCGAACGUGGAUUAAAAAUUUUUCACAUGCUGGGCACCUUUCGUAAUUUUUGGAUACACCGAUCACGCACUAUCAAAGCUGAGUAUUAGUUUACACUGGUUUAAUUUAAUCGUACAUGCUAAUUAUACGUUCUUUUUAUGACUUAAAACAGAAAAUUACUUUAUAUUCUAUUUAGAUAAUGUCGAAGGAAGACAUUUAUCUCAGAAGAGGGCUACCUUUGAAGAUGUCAUAAUUCACCCACGGCGCAGGGGCUUGUUUAUGAGCAGUAAGGCAAUCCACGAAUGGACUUUCUGUAAUUGUUCCCUAACUGUGGACGGGAUACUUUCGGACUGACUGUCGCGGUAAGGUCAUGGAUGUUUGGCUUAAGAUCGUUCUUUACCGUCAAAUUACAUUUUGUGUUUGAUGUUUCCAAUUUGAAGAGUAUCGCUUGGGCUGUUUUCAAAAGCACUGAGCAGUAUCAACGACGCUUUGUUGGUUCUAACGAUUCCUUCGUAACAUCCUUUUUGUUUUCGGUUCACUUAUACCAAAAAAACUGGUUUAAGAUAUAAAAAUGCAAGAGAAUUUUGAUUUUUGUUCCAGUCAAUUUUAUUGGAAGUCACUUAAGUUGGAAUAGUAUUGAACUAUAAAAAAGAAAAAAGUACGAUGUGAACAUGGAGCUCGACUUGAAAGUCAAAAUUAGACAGUCCUUUGUUCGUCUCCGUGGGUAGUGAACUACUGAGAAAGUGUUGGAAAAAGGAGAGAGCAAAGCAAGUGGAGUUGUUUUUGUUUAUCACCAACAUUGCAUGUCGCGAUUUCAUUUAACGAACUCCGUGUCAGACCCGACACCUUCCUAUGUGAUCCUCUCUAUUGACGAAUUGGCCGACUUGAUCAUUAUUAAAGGUCGUCUUUAGCAAGAAGCUAAGGUAACAGUCAUAGUACGACACAUGGCUCUUAUGCAGCAACCAGCGUGAAGAAAAUCAAGUCAAAAUAACUCCUUCCAAAAAAUCGAUCGAUUUGUCACUAAAUCUGUAGUCUAUGUAAACGUAUAUGGAAAUAUGAGGGGAUGCCACUUGAAUUGAAUUUAUAUAUUGCUGUUAUAGUAACAGUCUGUUACCACGCAGCAACGUUCCGCAGCACCGUUCCUGAAACGGAUGCGCUCUUCCAGACAUGAUUGUUAUUCAGAAUCUUUGCCGUAGUACGUCGUUCUACCCUAUUUUAGAGAGUUAACGGUAAUAUGCCGUUAAGGCUGUUUACCGUAUAGGAGCUUCGAAGAACAAAACCUGAUCUUCGGCUGUGAAUUCAAAUUCAAAGUAGUUUUCGAUCACCUGCGUAGCGACUACAUCUGUUAGACAUCAUCGGCCACCGUUCAUGAUGGUACGUAUGAAUAAUAGUUUGUUACAAUGAAGCUAAUUUCUGCUAUUUCAUCGGUUAUGCGAGGCCAUGUUCAAUGGAAGUUUACUGCUGUUGAUAUUAAGUGCACAUUUGCGUUGCCCCACGAUCUAACACUAAAGGAAGGAUAAUGUGAACUAUAAGUGAAAAAAUUCGUUUUGCCAUGAACAAAAGGGAAAUUUGAACUGUAUCCCGAAAAGUUGCGAACAUUGAAAUGGCUUCUAAAAAUCCGGAACUCAGUGUGAAAUCAAAACCCACGCAGUGGUAUAAAAAAUUGUGGAGCAAACUGCGGCCGGAAAAAACAAAGCCUCCACUUCAAGUAGCUAGAUCCAAAGAAGAAUGUCAAGAAUCAUCCAGGAAUACGGAAGCCAAUAAGAAUGUUGAAAUUAAUAAUUUCAAAACAGAUGAACAUGUCUUGUUUUAUUGGCAUUCACACUACGCUGCUAUUCAUGAAAAUUUGAUUACAUCCAACCAGCUGAUGCCACUAUCGAAUCCCGACUCCAUCAUACAAAAUGCUGAGCAGCCUGAGUUCAAUGACGGUGUGGCUGAUGUGCUGCCUUUUCAUGAGACCGUAGGACAUGGCCGAAACACCCCUGAUGCAAACGUUCUCGUACCCUCGCUAGUCUUCAGCGAGAAUACUGAACUUAACAUUACUGGUAUAUCAGGUAUCGCAGAACAAUAUCAUAACUCAUCAACAUACGACUCCAUGUAUGCAGAUGAAUUUGGCUUUGACAGUUAUUGUUCCGACUCUUCUGUUUGUUACUAAUCAUCUUCGAUGAAGGUAAAAAGCGUCUAAUAAACGACAUUACAGCUCGACUCGAUAAUUCUGAAAUAAAGAAUACACCUUAAGUUACGAUUA